ACUAACAAGGAUUCCCCUAGUAACUGCGAGUGAAGCGGGAAAAGCUCAAAUUUAAAAUCUGAGGGUCUUUAUGGCCUUCCGAGUUGUAAUCUAGAGAAGUGCUAUCCGCGCUGGACCGUGUACAAGUCUCCUGGAACGGAGCGUCAUAGAGGGUGAGAAUCCCGUCUUUGACACGGACUCCCAGGGCUUAUGUGAUGCGCUCUCAAAGAGUCGAGUUGUUUGGGAAUGCAGCUCUAAAUGGGUGGUAAAUUCCAUCUAAAGCUAAAUAUUGGCGAGAGACCGAUAGCGAACAAGUACCGUGAGGGAAAGAUGAAAAGAACUUUGGAAAGAGAGUUAAACAGUACGUGAAAUUGUUGAAAGGGAAACGCUUGAAGUCAGUCGCAUUGGCCAGGGAUCAACCUUGCUUUUGCUUGGUGUAUUUUCUGGUUAAUGGGUCAGCAUCAAUUUUGAUCGGUGGAAAAAGGUUGAGGGAAUGUGGCAUCUUCGGAUGUGUUAUAGCCCUUGGUUGCAUACAUCGGUUGGGAUUGAGGAACUCAGCACGCCGCAAGGCCGGGUUUUUAACCACGUACGUGCUUAGGAUGCUGGCAUAAUGGCUUUAAUCGACCCGUCUUGAAACACGGACCAAGGAGUCUAACAUGCACGCGAGUGUUUGGGUGGAAAACCCGAGCGCGUAAUGAAAGUGAAAAUUGAGAUCCCUGUCGUAGGGAGCAUCGAUGCCCGGACCAGACCUUUUGUGACGGAUCCGCGGUUGAGCGUGUAUGCUGGGACCCGAAAGAUGGUGAACUAUGCCUGAAUAGGGUGAAGCCAGAGGAAACUCUGGUGGAGGCUCGUAGCGAUUCUGACGUGCAAAUCGAUCGUCAAAUUUGGGUAUAGGGGCGAAAG
RNAcentral lists this ribosomal RNA (882 nucleotides) under Tricholoma cingulatum. Its description in RNAcentral is "eukaryotic LSU rRNA". It matches the Rfam family "Eukaryotic large subunit ribosomal RNA", at positions 64 to 929 of the family's 3401-position model. Lineage: Eukaryota; Fungi; Basidiomycota; Agaricomycetes; Agaricales; Tricholomataceae. The record is from RNAcentral.